CCGGAUGGAGCGGUUCGACGUCACAGGGUCCAGGAUGAUCGACGAGCUCCAGGACGAGCUGGCCGGCGGCGGCGACGACCUCUGCGACUCCUCCUACGUCGACGUCAUGUGAUGAUCUGUCCUUCAAUUUGCCUGAGAGAAAGAGCGUAAUUAAUGCGCGGCUAGUCUUUUGUUUGUUUAACGUUGCUGACAAGUUGGUAAUGAGCAGACGGCUUCUAGAAGAGUUAUUGCUUAUAGAUCAGAGGGCCGUGCCGGUCUUUGUUUUGGGGUGGAUCUUUGGUGUUCACACACGUUUUACCUACCUGCUGGUCUUGAUAUUUUGGUGUAACUGCAUCAUUGCAUAUUUGCAUGUGUAUCAAUCUACCCCCAAGCUCGCU
Molecule: long non-coding RNA, 377 nt
Filed under: Setaria italica (foxtail millet)
Lineage: Eukaryota; Viridiplantae; Streptophyta; Magnoliopsida; Poales; Poaceae
Description: long non-coding RNA (SITA_LNC006589)
Source: RNAcentral